GUGCUUGCUUUGGCAGCACAUAUACUAAAAUUGGGAACGAUACAGAGAAGAUUAGCAUGGCCCCUGAGCAAGGAUGACAGGCAAAUUUGUGAAGCAUUCUAUAUUAAA
Molecule: small nuclear RNA, 108 nt
Organism: Callithrix jacchus (white-tufted-ear marmoset)
Lineage: Eukaryota; Metazoa; Chordata; Mammalia; Primates; Cebidae
Source: Ensembl